Molecule: long non-coding RNA, 801 nt
Filed under: Felis catus (domestic cat)
Lineage: Eukaryota; Metazoa; Chordata; Mammalia; Carnivora; Felidae
Description: lncRNA (ENSFCAG00000052115.1)
Source: RNAcentral
AGCGCGUCUGCGGCCAGUUUUCCGGGUGACGGAGGCUGAAGGUCAGGACUCUCGUGGAAACUGAUGGCCAAAUCUGGGACGGAGACGGGAGGAGAAGGUGGCAUUAUUAGAAGUGUUGCCCUGGAAACAAGACAUCAGGCAGAAGUUCCUAUCACCUGUCUUCAGCAUUCUCAAGACGUGUGCUAAGAAUUCCACGGCAUUAUUUCAAAUCGGGAUGACCUCAGUGUUGCCCAGGCUGUUCCCAGCUAGAAGAGCUGCUCCUGUGUGUUAUGUGACAGCUGCGUUUGCCCACAGGUUGUUGGAACAGCUUUAUGUCAAGAGAAGUCGAAGGCAUGAUGCUUCCAAGUUACUUCAAAGGCUUUUGCCGCAGACUGCCCAAAUAUCGAGUGACACUGGUGUGAGAAAAUCAGGUGGCCGACUUGAGUUACAUCAACCUAUGGAAGGACAACAGGACGACUCUGACUUCACGAGACGCGCACGUGGAGUAGCGAUGGCCGCAGGGGACCCGAAUCCACAGGGAAACUCAGGAACUUAAGUUGUAACUUUCCCGGUUGCGUGUUCAGGAAUUAAAUAUUCUUUAAUUUUUUUUUUUCAACGUUUAUUUAUUUUUGGGACAGAGAGAGACAGAGCAUGAACGGGGGAGGGGCAGAGAGAGAGGGAGACACAGAAUCAGAAACAGGCCCCAGGCUCUGAGCCAUCAGCCCAGAGCCUGAUGCGGGGCUCGAACUCGCGGACCGCGAGAUCGUGACCUGGCUGAAGUCGGACGCUUAACCGACUGCGCCACCCAGGCGCCCCAGGAAU